GAAGAGGUGGCAGAGUUGGUUUAUUGCACCAGAUUGCUAAUCUGGUAUACAUAUUGAGUUAUGUAUCGUGGGGUCGUAGCCCACUCUCUUCG
Molecule: transfer RNA, 92 nt
Filed under: [Clostridium] scindens
Lineage: Bacteria; Bacillati; Bacillota; Clostridia; Lachnospirales; Lachnospiraceae
Description: tRNA-Ser
Rfam family: tRNA
About the family: Transfer RNA (tRNA) molecules are approximately 80 nucleotides in length. Their secondary structure includes four short double-helical elements and three loops (D, anti-codon, and T loops).
Source: RNAcentral